Molecule: ribosomal RNA, 465 nt
Filed under: Vreelandella stevensii
Lineage: Bacteria; Pseudomonadati; Pseudomonadota; Gammaproteobacteria; Oceanospirillales; Halomonadaceae
Description: partial 16S ribosomal RNA
Rfam family: Bacterial small subunit ribosomal RNA
Source: RNAcentral
CCUACUGGAGGCAGCAGUGGGGAAUAUUGGACAAUGGGGGCAACCCUGAUCCAGCCAUGCCGCGUGUGUGAAGAAGGCCCUCGGGUUGUAAAGCACUUUCAGUGAGGAAGAACGCCUGGUGGUUAAUACCCAUCAGGAAAGACAUCACUCACAGAAGAAGCACCGGCUAACUCCGUGCCAGCAGCCGCGGUAAUACGGAGGGUGCGAGCGUUAAUCGGAAUUACUGGGCGUAAAGCGCGCGUAGGUGGCUUGAUAAGCCGGUUGUGAAAGCCCCGGGCUCAACCUGGGAACGGCAUCCGGAACUGUCAAGCUAGAGUGCAGGAGAGGAAGGUAGAAUUCCCGGUGUAGCGGUGAAAUGCGUAGAGAUCGGGAGGAAUACCAGUGGCGAAGGCGGCCUUCUGGACUGACACUGACACUGAGGUGCGAAAGCGUGGGUAGCAAACAGGAUUAGAUACCCCUGUAGUC